ACGACUGCUAAGACUGGAUAGGAGACAAGAAGGCAUCUUCUUGUUUUUAAAAGACCUAGCAAUAGGUAUGCUUAGGGAGGAGCUUGCGUCACAUUAGUUAGUUGGUGGGGUAAAGGCCUACCAAGACUAUGAUGUGUAGCCGGGCUGAGAGGUUGAACGGCCACAUUGGGACUGAGACACGGCCCAAACUCCUACGGGAGGCAGCAGUAGGGAAUUUUCGGCAAUGGAGGAAACUCUGACCGAGCAACGCCGCGUGAACGAUGAAGUAUUUCGGUACGUAAAGUUCUUUUAUUAGGGAAGAAUAAAUGAUGGAAAAAUCAUUCUGACGGUACCUAAUGAAUAAGCCCCGGCUAACUAUGUGCCAGCAGCCGCGGUAAUACAUAGGGGGCAAGCGUUAUCCGGAAUUAUUGGGCGUGAAGGGUGCGUAGGCGGUUAAAUAAGUUUAUGGUCUAAGUGCAAUGCUCAACAUUGUGAUGCUAUAAAAACUGUUUAGCUAGAGUAAGAUAGAGGCAAGUGGAAUUCCAUGUGUAGUGGUAAAAUGCGUAAAUAUAUGGAGGAACACCAGUAGCGAAGGCGGCUUGCUGGGUCUUUACUGACGCUGAGGCACGAAAGCGUGGGGAGCAAACAGGAUUAGAUACCCUGGUAGUCCACGCCGUAAACGAUGAGUACUAAACGUUGGGUAAAACCAGUGUUGAAGUUAACACAUUAAGUACUCCGCCUGAGUAGUACGUACGCAAGUAUGAAACUUAAAGGAAUUGACGGGACUCCGCACAAGCGGUGGAUCAUGUUGUUUAAUUCGAAGGUACCCGAAAAACCUCACCAGGUCUUGACAUGCUUCUGCAAAGCUGUAGAAACACAGUGGAGGUUAUCAGUUACACAGGUGGUGCAUGGUUGUCGUCAGCUCGUGUCGUGAGAUGUUGGGUUAAGUCCCGCAACGAGCGCAACCCUUAUUGUUAGUUACCAGCACGUAAUGGUGGGGACUUUAGCAAGACUGCCAGUGAUAAAUUGGAGGAAGGUGGGGACGGCGUCAAAUCAUCAUGCCCCUUAUGACCUGGGCUACAAACGUGAUACAAUGGCUGUUACAAAGGGUAGCUGAAGCGCAAGUUUUUGGCGAAUCUCAAAAAAACAGUCUCAGUUCGGAUUGAAGUCUGCAACUCGACUUCAUAAAGUUGGAAUCGCUAGUAAUCGCGAAUCAGCAUGUCGCGGUGAAUACGUUCGCGGGGUUUGUACACACCGCCCGUCA
Molecule: ribosomal RNA, 1243 nt
Filed under: 'Dodonaea viscosa' witches'-broom phytoplasma
Lineage: Bacteria; Bacillati; Mycoplasmatota; Mollicutes; Acholeplasmatales; Acholeplasmataceae
Description: bacterial SSU rRNA
Rfam family: Bacterial small subunit ribosomal RNA
Source: RNAcentral